RNAcentral lists this ribosomal RNA (253 nucleotides) under uncultured bacterium. RNAcentral describes it as "partial 16S ribosomal RNA". It matches the Rfam family "Bacterial small subunit ribosomal RNA", at positions 524 to 776 of the family's 1533-position model. The record is from RNAcentral.
UACAGAGGGGGCAAGCGUUGUUCGGAAUUACUGGGCGUAAAGGGCGCGUAGGCGGCCUGUUAAGUCGAACGUGAAAUCCCCGGGCUCAACCCGGGAACUGCGUCCGAUACUGGCAGGCUUGAAUCCGGGAGAGGGAUGUGGAAUUCCAGGUGUAGCGGUGAAAUGCGUAGAUAUCGGAAGGAACAUCAGUGGCGAAAGCGGCUUCCUGGACCAGCACCGACGUUCAGGCACGAAAGCGUGGGGAGCAAACAGG